UAAGAGGUCCCGCCUGCCCUGUGACUAUUAGUUUAACGGCCGCGGUAUUUUGACCGUGCAAAGGUAGCGCAAUCACUUGUCUUUUAAAUGAAGACCUGUAUGAAUGGCACAACGAGGGCUUAACUGUCUCCUCUUUCAAGUCAAUGAAAUUGAUCUCCCCGUGCAGAAGCGGGGAUAAAACCAUAAGACGAGAAGACCCUAUGGAGCUUUAGACACCAAAGAAGAUCCUGUUAAAUGUCCCUAUAUAAAGGCCUGAACUAAUGGAACCCUUCCCUAAUGUCUUUGGUUGGGGCGACCACGGGGAAAGAAAUAACCCCCGCGUGGACUGGGAGUACUUCACUCCUACAGCCAAGAGCCACAGCUCAAAUCAACAGAACUUCUGACCUAUAAGAUCCGGCAAUGCCGAUCAACGGACCGAGUUACCCUAGGGAUAACAGCGCAAUCCCCUUUUAGAGCCCAUAUCGACAAGGGGGUUUACGACCUCGAUGUUGGAUCAGGACAUCCUAAUGGUGCAGCCGCUAUUAAGGGUCCGUUUGUUCAACG
RNAcentral lists this ribosomal RNA (543 nucleotides) under Pontinus longispinis. Its description in RNAcentral is "partial 16S large subunit ribosomal RNA". It matches the Rfam family "Bacterial large subunit ribosomal RNA", at positions 1846 to 2586 of the family's 2925-position model. The record is from RNAcentral. Lineage: Eukaryota; Metazoa; Chordata; Actinopteri; Perciformes; Scorpaenidae.